RNAcentral lists this unclassified non-coding RNA (206 nucleotides) under Hevea brasiliensis (rubber tree). The record is from RNAcentral. Lineage: Eukaryota; Viridiplantae; Streptophyta; Magnoliopsida; Malpighiales; Euphorbiaceae.
CAAAAAAAAAUUGAACUAAAACCAGUAGAAGAAGUGCAGAAACCUGUCAGUUAGACCCACUGUGGCAGCAUCUGCUGGUACAUAACUUCCAAUGUGGGAAAGGAAAACUAUCAAGGCAACCUGCUUGAUAUAGAUACUUUUUCCCGAAUAAUUAGGGCCUGUGAUGAUAUUAAUUCUUCCUUCAAGAGUAAUAUUUGUGUCGUUGG